AUACGUAGGGGGCGAGCGUUGUCCGGAAUGAUUGGGCGUAAAGGGCGCGUAGGCGGCCCGGUAAGUCUGGAGUGAAAGUCCUGUUUUUAAGAUGGGAAUUGCUUUGGAUACUGUCGGGCUUGAGUGCAGGAGAGGUAAGUGGAAUUCCCAGUGUAGCGGUGAAAUGCGUAGAGAUUGGGAGGAACACCAGUGGCGAAGGCGACUUACUGUACUUUAACUGACGCUGAGGCGCGAAAGUGUGGGGAGCAAACAGGAUUAGAUACCCUGGUAGUCCACACUGUAAACGAUGAAUGCUAGGUGUAGGGGGUAUCGACCCCUUCUGUGCCGCAGUCAACACAAUAAGCAUUCCGCCUGGGGAGUACGGCCGCAAGGUUGAAACUCAAAGGAAUUGACGGGG
RNAcentral lists this ribosomal RNA (397 nucleotides) under uncultured bacterium. RNAcentral describes it as "partial 16S ribosomal RNA". It matches the Rfam family "Bacterial small subunit ribosomal RNA", at positions 523 to 918 of the family's 1533-position model. The record is from RNAcentral.